Molecule: unclassified non-coding RNA, 492 nt
Filed under: Engyodontium sp. OTU_058
Lineage: Eukaryota; Fungi; Ascomycota
Description: sequence contains ITS1, 5.8S rRNA gene and ITS2
Rfam family: 5.8S ribosomal RNA (bases 183-336)
Source: RNAcentral
CCGAGUUUACAACUCCCAAACCCAUGUGAACAUACCUUUACGUUGCUUCGGCGGAGCCGCCCCGGCGCCCGGAACCUCUUCGGUUUCGCGGCCCGGAACCAGGCGCCCGCCGGAGGCCACAAACUCUUUUGUUUUUACAGUUUCUUCUGAGUGUGCCGCAAGGCAAAAUACAAAUGAAUCAAAACUUUCAACAACGGAUCUCUUGGUUCUGGCAUCGAUGAAGAACGCAGCGAAAUGCGAUAAGUAAUGUGAAUUGCAGAAUUCAGUGAAUCAUCGAAUCUUUGAACGCACAUUGCGCCCGCCAGAAUUCUGGCGGGCAUGCCUGUUCGAGCGUCAUUUCAACCCUCGAGCUCCCCUCUUUUUGGGAGAGCCCGGCGUUGGGGGACCCGGCGCUAACACCGCCGGCCCCGAAAUGGAGUGGCGGCCCGUCCGCGGCGACCUCUGCGUAGUAAUAUCCACUCGCACCGGGACCCGGGCGCGGCCACGCCGUUA